RNAcentral lists this ribosomal RNA (460 nucleotides) under uncultured bacterium. Its description in RNAcentral is "bacterial SSU rRNA". It matches the Rfam family "Bacterial small subunit ribosomal RNA", at positions 28 to 507 of the family's 1533-position model. The record is from RNAcentral.
GACGAACGCUGGCGGCGUGCCUAACACAUGCAAGUCGAACGGUUCAAGAUCAGCAAUGGUUUUGGAUAGUGGCGGACGGGUGAGUAACGCGUGAAUGACCUGACCUGAAGUGGGGGACAACACAUGGAAACGUGUGCUAAUACCGCAUAGGACCACGGUGCUGCAUGGCACUGGGGUGAAAGGAGCAAUCCGCUUGAGGAGGGGUUCCGUCCCAUUAGCUAGUUGGGGGGUAAAGGCCCACCAAGGCGACGAUGGGUAGCCGGACUGAGAGGUUGAACGGCCACACUGGAACUGAGAGACGGUCCAGACUCCUACGGGAGGCAGCAGUGGGGAAUAUUGGGCAAUGGGGGAAACCCUGACCCAGCAACGCCGCGUGAGGGAAGACGGCCUUCGGGUUGUAAGCUCUGUUGAGGGGACGAUAAUGACGGUACCCCUUUAGAAAGCCACGGCUAACUACGUG